AUUGAACGCUGGCGGCAGGCCUAACACAUGCAAGUCGAACGAGUGGCGGACGGGUGAGUAAUGUCUGGGAAACUGCCUGAUGGAGGGGGAUAACUACUGGAAACGGUAGAUAAUAACGCAUACCACCGGCAGUGCUCAUAUGGGAUUAACUAGUGGGUGGGGUAAAGGAUACCCUAGUCGACCAUCCCUAGCUGGUCUAAGAGGAUGACCACCCACACUGGAACUAGGACACGGUCCAUACUCCUACGGGAGGCAGCAGUGGGGGAUAUUGCACAUUGGGCGCAAGCCUGAUGCAGCCAUGCCGCGUGUAUGAAGAAGGCCUUCGGGUUGUAAAGUACUUUCAGCGGGGAGGCGUUACCCGCAGAAGAAGCACCGGCUAACUCCGUGCCAGCAGCCGCGGUAAUAC
This 406-nucleotide ribosomal RNA is filed under the name uncultured bacterium. RNAcentral describes it as "partial 16S ribosomal RNA". It matches the Rfam family "Bacterial small subunit ribosomal RNA", at positions 30 to 526 of the family's 1533-position model. The record is from RNAcentral.